AUGAACACAGGGAUACGUCUUGUUUUCACGCGGCAGGAAGGUCGGGAGAGGGUAGUUCAGGCCCCGUGAUCUGUGUUUGAGCAUGGAGGCAUAGCCCCCUCCUGCGCUGAUUAAUAAAUACAGUAUCCACGGUUGACCUGUUGCCCACCAUCCCUUGACCAGGUGUCCUACGUAGCUGACCCCUCGCAGCAGGGUGGGACAGGUCAUGUAGUGACUCCACACGGAGGGCGGGCAUCAGGUAACUGCUGGGUGGCCUGCCUGAGGACUGUCAUAUCCCUAGAGCCUGGUGCUAGAGGCGGGCCCAAGGUCCCUGGAACUGGGGUCUGAGGGAACUACGUCCGUGAUGCGGCUGAAGCUGGAGCUAGAGGAGAAGAAACAGGCCAUGGUUCUGCUGCAGAGAGCUCUGGCGCAACAGCGGGACCUCGCCACUCGCCGUGUUAAGGAGACAGAGAAGGAGCUGAGCCGGCAGCUGCGGCAGCAGAAGGAGCAGUACGAGGCCACCAUCCAGCGGCACUUGUCCUUCAUUGACCAGCUGAUCGAAGACAAGAAAGUCCUUAGCGAGAAGUGUGAGGCGGUGGUGGCUGAGCUGAAGCAGGGGGACCAGCGGUGUCGGGAGCGUGUGGCACAGGUGCAGGAGCAGCACGAACUGGUGAGCCCAUGCCAGGCCAGGGCCCCUGGGGGCAGCCGAUGCCAGGCCGGGGUCCCUGGGGGCAGUGGCAACGUG
Molecule: long non-coding RNA, 724 nt
Filed under: Rattus norvegicus (Norway rat)
Lineage: Eukaryota; Metazoa; Chordata; Mammalia; Rodentia; Muridae
Description: long non-coding RNA NONRATT006341
Source: RNAcentral